AUUGUACUCCCUCCGUCCGGAAAUACUUGUCAUCAAAAUGAAUAAAAGGGGAUGUAUCUAGACGUAUAUUAGUUCUAGAUACAUCUUUUUUUAUCCAUUUUGAUGGCAAAUAUUUUUGGACGGAGGGAGUAUCUU
Non-coding RNA from Triticum urartu, 135 nucleotides. The record is from Rfam. Lineage: Eukaryota; Viridiplantae; Streptophyta; Magnoliopsida; Poales; Poaceae.